Molecule: long non-coding RNA, 1296 nt
Filed under: Sus scrofa (pig)
Lineage: Eukaryota; Metazoa; Chordata; Mammalia; Artiodactyla; Suidae
Description: lncRNA (ENSSSCG00070017600.1)
Source: RNAcentral
AUGCCACAAGCUCCCAGGGAACUGGCAGUGGGACUCUGGGGUGGCACCCAGAGAGCAAGCGGAUCGGGCACAACCUACUGGGACACACAGGGCACUGGAGGAAGAGGGAGAAGUAAUGCUCAGCCCCUUCCCCAGUGUGUUAUCAGAAGCUGGUGGCUAGCCAGCCAACCUUUCCAGGAGGAGGUGACAUUCUUGCUGUUAAUAACAGGAAACCCAACUAUUGCGAGAAGAGGGAUAUUGGAGAUGAAAUUUUGAUGAUAAAAUUGCAUGGAGAGAAGGGCUGCUGAUGGAUGAAGCUCCAAUUCACCCUUUCACCGCGGCACCCCACCCCCCACCACUCAGUGCUGCCCUGGGACACUGGACACGUGACCUCCGAUAAGAAUCACUCCAUUCAGAGGAGCUGGCAGGUGGAUGUCCUCUUUGCUCAAACAUGCGUGAAGGUCUCCACUCCCUAGAUCUCAUGGCUGUGGAGUUGGGAACUCUGGCUGGCCCUCCUCUGUUCUUUUGGAGAUAGUGCGUUUCUCCCUCCAGGUAAACUUCAAACUAGUGUUCAUUUAAAUAUUAAUUUGCAAUUGCGCCAUCUCUUCUGUGAUAUUACCACAGUCUGUGGCAAUUAGGCUGAGCGGGCCUCCUCGCUCUCUUGAAUCGCACGUCAAGGCAGCGCGGGGACUUGCUGCCGAGUCCGAUCCUUCCUUUCACGCCAUCCGAAACGCUCUGCACGGCGAACCACAUUGAAAUGAGCCCCUUCAUCUUCCGCAUGGAUAAUUAAACUUCAAACACUGUUUAUCUCAGUCCCCAAAUCCUCCGAAUGCAGAAGCAAAUUAAUUUUAAAUCUAUAUCUGCUUUAAAUAGUAAUUGUUUAAUCAACAGGCUUGAUGUAUAAUUAUAUUCUUUGUUCGUUCUCCCGGCAGGCUUGAAUAGACCACAUAAUUCCUGGGUUGCUUUCAUUUCUGUAAUUAGAUCAUGUGACAGACCCUCACUAUAUUACAGUUGACUCUAGUUACUUCUCCCCCCACCCCCUUCGAAGUUCUAAAACGGUUUCUCAUGAAUACUUAGAUUAUAACAGCUCAGCUUAACACCGAGCUGUGAGUGUUUUGCUUUAAUCCUUUAUUCUUCUUUCACCUAAUAAUUUACUCUGGAGCAAGUGAUCUUACUGGUGGCUGCUACACUGGGCUGGCUGUAUCCUUGCAGAAUUAAGAGUUCUUGUCCUUAUUUUGAACCAGUUUCCCUAAAGGAAAACCCUUUCGGACCACCACAUAGAAACACACUCUCUGGACUCUUUGAAGCCACUGUUAU